Molecule: ribosomal RNA, 492 nt
Filed under: uncultured bacterium
Lineage: Bacteria
Description: partial 16S ribosomal RNA
Rfam family: Bacterial small subunit ribosomal RNA
Source: RNAcentral
AGUGAACGCUGGCGGUAGGCCUAACACAUGCAAGUCGAACGGCAGCACAGUAAGAGCUUGCUCUUACGGGUGGCGAGUGGCGGACGGGUGAGGAAUACAUCGGAAUCUACUUUUUCGUGGGGGAUAACGUAGGGAAACUUACGCUAAUACCGCAUACGACCUACGGGUGAAAGCAGGGGUUCUUCGGACCUUGCGCGAUUGAAUGAGCCGAUGUCGGAUUAGCUAGUUGGCGGGGUAAAGGCCCACCAAGGCGACGAUCCGUAGCUGGUCUGAGAGGAUGAUCAGCCACACUGGAACUGAGACACGGUCCAGACUCCUACGGGAGGCAGCAGUGGGGAAUAUUGGGCAAUGGGCGAAAGCCUGAUCCAGCCAUACCGCGUGAGUGAAGAAGGCCUUCGGGUUGUAAAGCCCUUUUGUUGGGAAAGAAAAGCAGCAGGUUAAUACCCCGCUGUUCUGACGGUACCCAAAGAAUAAGCACCGGCUAACUUCGUG